RNAcentral lists this transfer RNA (67 nucleotides) under Marmota monax (woodchuck). RNAcentral's name for it is "tRNA.Ala". It matches the Rfam family "tRNA". From Rfam's summary of the family: Transfer RNA (tRNA) molecules are approximately 80 nucleotides in length. Their secondary structure includes four short double-helical elements and three loops (D, anti-codon, and T loops). The record is from RNAcentral. Lineage: Eukaryota; Metazoa; Chordata; Mammalia; Rodentia; Sciuridae.
GGUUGUGGCUCAGCGGUAGAGUGUUCGCCUAGCAUGUGUGAGGCCCUGGGUUCAAUCCUCAGCACCA